GUCCCCUUCGGGGGAUGAGUAGAGUGGCGCACGGGUGAGUAACACGUAGGUAAUCUACCUUCGGGUGGGGAAUAACCCAGGGAAACUUGGGCUAACACCGCAUAAUGCAGCGGCACCACAUGGUGACAGUUGUUAAAGCGGGGGAUUUUCGGACCUCGCGCCUGAAGAGGAGCCUGCGGCAGAUUAGCUAGUUGGUAGGGUAACGGCUUACCAAGGCGACGAUCUGUAGCCGGCCUGAGAGGGCGGUCGGCCACACUGACACUGACAUACGGGUCAGACUCCUACGGGAGGCAGCAGUCGGGAAUUUUGGGCAAUGGGCGAAAGCCUGACCCAGCAACGCCGCGUGAAGGAUGAAAUCCCUCGGGAUGUAAACUUCGCAAGAAUGGGAAGAAUUAGUAGGGGUUAAUACCCCCUAUGAUGACGGUACCAUUUGUAAGCUCCGGCUAACUCCGUGCCAGCAGCCGCGGUAAUACGGGGGGAGCAAGCGUUGUUCGGAUUUACUGGGCGUAAAGGGCGCGUAGGCGGUCAGC
Molecule: ribosomal RNA, 530 nt
Filed under: uncultured bacterium
Lineage: Bacteria
Description: bacterial SSU rRNA
Rfam family: Bacterial small subunit ribosomal RNA
Source: RNAcentral